Molecule: long non-coding RNA, 1023 nt
Organism: Planococcus citri (citrus mealybug)
Lineage: Eukaryota; Metazoa; Arthropoda; Insecta; Hemiptera; Pseudococcidae
Exons: 3
Source: RefSeq, a predicted model, not a curated record
AGCUUCGAGCAUUCGAGCUGCUCCAUAAUCGAACUGAUCAUCGUAUUGUAAACAUCGUUUAUCGAAUUCUCGUGGCUCGAGUAGUUUUUAAAAUCUAUUCUCAAUUUUAUUAAUUAAUGGGAAAACAUUGUAAUUGUGUUCAUUUACAAAUCACUGCCGAUGAGCCAUUCACGCAGUACGGAACCAUAAUCAAGCAAUACCAGCUACCGGAUUUGAACUACGAUCUGGCUGAAAAAGGAGUUGCCUGGGAUCUGCAAUACAUCAGGGAACGCCGAAAGAAGCAGUUAAGGAAACAAAAACUGUACCGACAGUCGAUGAUCAUAGUCGAAUUUUUAUGCUUUGUAUGGCUGUUAUUUCUACUUUUCUCGCUGUUUUUGCACCAUUAAUGGGAAGAGGAGCUUUCUCGUCAGAAGAAAAUUGUACUGAGAACACUCGCCUUUUGCGUGUUGAUGAUCACAGCCGGUCUAUCACCGCUGCUUAUUUAAUUCUCACCAUUUACAAAUGAAUUUCAUUAUUCACAUGUGAUUCCGAACAAGUAAUUUGCCAGCGUCCUCACCUUACAUCAGUCACAAUGUAGCCGUUUUUUGUAAAUACGUCGUAAGAUAUAAUUUACGUCGUUAGAGAUUGUGUAUCAUACCUAAUUCAUAAGUUAUAAUUUUUAAUUUUUUUUCUACGCUCGUAUACCUAUAAAUUUAUAAGGAGUCGUUUUGAAUUGUUUUCUUUGCUCAUUUACCUACCGUUCUCCUUCGAGAGGAGAUUAUUUGAUAAGUAUUAUGUUAGCUUUUUAAACUGCAGUCAAGGUGCGUGUUAUAUUUACCACUUUUUUAUCGUCUAAUAUUUGCUCCGCCAGCGUUAAGACUGUGAUGGAUAUUAUACUAAGUUUCUACUACCUAACGAUAAGAUCGCAAUUUUACGUGUAUUUAGUCGUAUUUACGACGAAUUGCCGCUUAACCAAGCUAUAUUAUUGCCAUUUUAUGUAUCGUAGAAGUUUACUAAGUGUAAUAAAAUUUUCUACAAUCUUUA